CCAAGUAUAGCAUGCUUUUGGGUCCUAGACUACACGGGCAAUAGAAUAAUAGUAGCUACACACGAACUCUCGUCACCUCGUGCGUACGUAGCUCCCACAAUUAGGAGCACUUAACCAAUUAACUCACCUAUGGGGAUAAUUCCCUCUUACAAGGUUAGAAAGGAGACUCACCUCGAUUCGAAGAUCCAUAACCGGCAUUCCAUACCCUUCCGAAGACUCGAAUCGAUGAACAACGCUCUAAAACUAGCCAAUAAAUUUGAAAAUCCAUUAAUAUAUGAUAAGGUACUCAUUAUAAUUCAAUUUAUAUUAAUUCCUAACCCCAAUCAAAAAGUUGACAAAAACGCCCUCCGGCCCAUGUGCCCGGAAUCCAAAUUUUUUCGACGAUAAAGUUUACCCAUGAAGUUAUGAACUCAAAAUAUAUGAUUUUCUCUUAGUUCCAUACCCAAAAAUUAUGGUAAAAAUUCAAGCAUACAAAUUUUCUAGGUUUUCCCUCAAACCCCAAAUUUUCUACCUAUUUCUAUGUCUAAAUCCAUAUAUAAACCUUGUAUAUACCCAAAAUCUAGUAAAAAGUACUUACCUCAUGCUUGGUGAUGAAAAUGGCACUCCAAAGUUGCUCCAAAAAUCGGCUCCCAUGGAAGAAAUGAAGUGAAAAUGAGCCAAAACCUGAUUUUAAAAGAACACUGCCCAGACGCCCCGUCUAUGCGAUUGCAAACAAUGCUCCGCGAUCGCAUAGGCCAACUAUGAUGCCUCCCAAAAUCCUUAUGUACAAUCACAUGCAAGCUCCCGUGUUCGCACGGGCCAAACGCAUCCCAGCCUCCAAACGUGUGCGAUCGCAACACCAACCUUGUGAUCGCAUAAACAGCUUUUCCUCCUCUGCGAUCGCAUUGCACUUCCUGCGAUCGAAUAGGCCAAAAUCCAGCUCCUCAACUCUUGAUCUAUGUGAUCUCAGACCCUCUCACGCGAUCGCAUAGAGUAAAAACCUGCUGCACUUAUACCAGAAAACCAGCAAUCCUUACAAGGCGAAAAUCGAUCCAUUAAGCAUUUGAAACGCGCCCGAGGCCCCUGGGACCUCAAUCAAACCUACCAACCAAUCCCAAAACACAUUUCGGACUUGCUCGAGGCCUCAAAUCAUAUCAAACAAUGCUAAAAUCACAAAUCACGCUUCAUUUCAAACUUGAAGAACUUAUAAUUUCAAACUUUUACAUUCGAUGCCGAAACCCGUCAAAUCACGUCUGAUUGACUUCAAAUUUUGCACGCAAGUCAUAUUCUAUAUUGCGGACCUACUCCAACUUCUAGAAUCGGUUCCGGCCUCGAUAUCAAAAUGUCCACUUCUGGUCAAACUUCUCCAAAAACCUUCAAUUUUCUAUCUUUAGCCAAAUGGCUCCAAAAUGACCUACUUUUAACAAAUAAUAAAGGAUUUUUAAGAUUUACUUUACAUUAUCUUUAGCAAUUUAUAUCAGGCCAUAAAAGGCAAUAUCAACAUUUAAAAACGAAUUCACUUCGGAUCGCGCUCCCAACUCCAGAAUAACCAUACGGAGUUACUCCCAGACUCGGAAUCCUAAGCGAACAUUAAUAUCACUGAGAUGCACUUCAACCCAAACUUAUAAAAUUUCUUCCAAAAUGCUAACUUCCACAAUAGGCGCCAAAACGCUCUCGAGUCAUUCAAAACCCAAUCCCAGGAUACGCACGUCUGAAAUCAUCAGACGAACCUGCUAGAGCCUUCAGAUCUCAAUUGCGAGAUCAUUUACUCAAACAUCCAAUCUUAGUCAAUUCUUUCAACUUAAAGCUUUCGAAAUGAGAAUUCUCUUUCCAGAUCAAUUCUGAACUUCCCGAAAUUCAAUUCCGACCAUGCGCACAAGUCAUAAUACCUGAAAUGAGACUUCUCAUAGCCUCAUACUGCUGAACGAUGUGCUAGAUCUCAAAAACACCGGUCGGAUCGUUACAAUUAGUUUAUGAAUGGUAAAAGAUAAAUAAUGAAGUAGGGUACAUAUUUGGUUUACGUUUUACUAUUUUUGGACUAUUUGGAGUAUAAUACUCUAAAUAUUGUUCAUAGUUAGUAAAACUUUGUCCUUUGGAUGGAUUUUUGACAAAAAAAUCUGUCCUUUGAAUAGUUUGAGUAUAUUUUUGGUGAAAAAUCUACCCUUUGGACAAAUUGGUAAUGAUAACUCAAGGUUUUCCCUCUCCUAUAAAGAGAGGGUCUUUAUUUCAUUGGGGNNNNNNNNNNNNNNNNNNNNNNNNNNNNNNNNNNNNNNNNNNNNNNNNNNNNNNNNNNNNNUUUUUUUUGUGGGGGGGGGGGGGGGGGAAGAUCAGUAGGAAAAAAAGACAAAAAAAGGGGGAAAUUUUAGCACUUUAUUUUUCUCUUAAAAAUAAUUUAGUAAGAGUUUUUAGGUUCUCCUUUUGGAUUUUCUUUAAACCUUUUCUCUUAAGGAGUUUCUGGGUUCAAGUAUUUUGAGUUUUCUGUUGUUUAUUGUGCGUUGGCCGCUUGUUGUUGAUUUAGUCUGCAGCUUUAGGUAACGCUUUUGCGCCUUAUAAUGUACUUUCAGUUGCAAAUGAAUGAAAUGGGGAGCUUAUAGUAAGAGUGCACUGUGGCCCGGGCUUGAAUUGGGCCCGCAGUCCUGGCAGGCCUAACGGGCCUGGUGGUCCUGGGCCUGGUGUUACCUUUAGGCUCGUGACGGGCCUGUCCAAG
Molecule: long non-coding RNA, 2686 nt
Filed under: Nicotiana benthamiana
Lineage: Eukaryota; Viridiplantae; Streptophyta; Magnoliopsida; Solanales; Solanaceae
Description: long non-coding RNA (NBEN_LNC004814)
Source: RNAcentral